Molecule: ribosomal RNA, 263 nt
Filed under: uncultured bacterium
Lineage: Bacteria
Description: partial 16S ribosomal RNA
Rfam family: Bacterial small subunit ribosomal RNA
Source: RNAcentral
GUCCACGCCCUAAACGAUGACGACUAGAUGUCGGAAGGGUCUGCCUUUCGGUGUCGUAGCUAACGCGUUAAGUCGUCCGCCUGGGGAGUACGGCCGCAAGGUUGAAACUCAUAGGAAUUGACGGGGACCCGCACAAGCGGUGGAGCAUGUGGUUCAAUUCGAUGCAACGCGAAGAACCUUACCUGGCCUUGACAUCCGCGGAACUUGGCAGAAAUGCCUUGGUGCCUUCGGGAAUCGCGAGACAGGUGCUGCAUGGCUGUCGU